GAGAAGUUCAACUUUUCAGCUCUGCUUCAGGGCUCAGAGGGUACACCACAGAGCCGAGGAAACUGAGCUUCAGUGAAAGAAAGACACUGUCCAAAGUAAGACUUCUUGGUGCUACAGGCACAGGAAGAGGAGAGCUGUGGAAAGCUGAAGACAAGAAGUGCACCUGAGGAAGAUACCACAAGUGAGCAGAGGCCAGAAGUUGAAAGGACCUAAACCAGGUACCCUGUAACACUGAUA
Talpa occidentalis (Iberian mole) is the source of this 237-nucleotide long non-coding RNA. RefSeq lists it as uncharacterized. The record is from RefSeq and is a predicted model, not a curated record. NCBI's taxonomy places the organism in Eukaryota, Metazoa, Chordata, Mammalia, Eulipotyphla, Talpidae. The transcript has 3 exons.